Long non-coding RNA from Dermochelys coriacea (leatherback sea turtle), 307 nucleotides. RefSeq lists it as uncharacterized. The transcript has 3 exons. Lineage: Eukaryota; Metazoa; Chordata; Testudines; Dermochelyidae. The record is from RefSeq and is a predicted model, not a curated record.
AAGAUGAGCGGGGGCCACCUUCUCUUCAGACCUGCAGGGAGAAACUGCUUGUGACUUGGUGACUGCCUUUGUGUGAAAGAACUACCGGCAUGAAUCCAAUUACACAUCUGCUUAAGUGCUUCCAUAAUAAGAGCCAUAUUUUGUAUGUCUGAAGGUGACAAACACACAGCUGAGGCAAAAGACCCAUAAAAACCCAUAGAAAUAACGGUCCAGGUGCAAUUGCUAUAACCAGUUUUUAUGAAGUUCUUUGGGCAAAACCCUGUUUGCCCUUCAUAUGGAAGGUUUCAUAGUAAGUACCCAUAUGUCA